RNAcentral lists this ribosomal RNA (254 nucleotides) under uncultured bacterium. RNAcentral's name for it is "partial 16S ribosomal RNA". It matches the Rfam family "Bacterial small subunit ribosomal RNA", at positions 524 to 776 of the family's 1533-position model. The record is from RNAcentral.
UACGGGGGGGGUAAGCGUUGUUCGGAAUUACUGGGCGUAAAGGGCUCGUAGGCGGCCAACUAAGUCAUACGUGAAAUCCCUCAGCUUAACUGGGGGAACUGCGUGUGAUACUGGAUGGCUUGGAUUUGGGAGAGGGAUGCGGAAUUCCAGUGUAGCGGUGAAAUGGCGUAGAUAUCUGGAGGAACACCGGUGGCGAAGGCGGCAUCCUGGACCAAUAUUGACGCUGAGGAGCGAAAGCUAGGGGAGCAAACGGG